CAUAUCGAAGAGCUUGUCAAUUCGGAGGUGACCAUUGCUGAAGCCACUCGAGCUCUUACUGGCUAUAUUUCUACUGGCGAGCUCAAUGAUAUUUUCGCUGUGUUGAUGCUUUCCGUCUUC
Molecule: small nuclear RNA, 120 nt
Filed under: uncultured Symbiodinium
Lineage: Eukaryota; Dinophyceae; Suessiales; Symbiodiniaceae
Description: partial Dictyostelium signal recognition particle
Source: RNAcentral